This 293-nucleotide unclassified non-coding RNA is filed under the name Hevea brasiliensis (rubber tree). Lineage: Eukaryota; Viridiplantae; Streptophyta; Magnoliopsida; Malpighiales; Euphorbiaceae. The record is from RNAcentral.
GCUUGCUAGGGUGGUUGAUGAAAGAUAGCAAAAAUAACAUUGGAGAUUGAGGAUCCACAAAUAGCAUUUUUCUAUAGCUUCAUUGUGAGAAAUGACCAGCAACCUAGUUUGCUUUUCAGAGCAACACACCAAGGUAUAUCUCAAGGAUAUCUUUCAGGAUUAGGGGUUUGGUUUUGUUAAGAAACUGAACAAGAUUCAACUUAUUGUUUAUCAGUCAAAAAGUUUUGAAAUGUUACAUGCAUAAUUUCUUUCUUAAUUAACAGAAGAUAAAACAUUAAAGAAGCAUCUCCAAG